Molecule: ribosomal RNA, 499 nt
Filed under: uncultured bacterium
Lineage: Bacteria
Description: bacterial SSU rRNA
Rfam family: Bacterial small subunit ribosomal RNA
Source: RNAcentral
GCGGCGGACGGGUGAGUAACGCGUGGGUAACCUACCCCAAAGUCCGGGAUAACAGCGGGAAACCGCUGCUAAUACCGGAUGUCUUUACCUUGGGGCAUCUUGAGGUAAAGAAAGGCAACGCUUUGGGAUGGGCCCGCGUCCCAUUAGCUAGUUGGUGAGGUAACGGCUCACCAAGGCGACGAUGGGUAGCCGGCCUGAGAGGGUGGACGGCCACACUGGGACUGAGACACGGCCCAGACUCCUACGGGAGGCAGCAGUAGGGAAUAUUGCGCAAUGGACGGAAGUCUGACGCAGCGACGCCGCGUGAGCGAUGAAGGUCUUCGGAUCGUAAAGCUCUGUCCUUGGGGAAGAAGGCGAAAGCUUGACGGUACCCAAGAAGAAAGCCCCGGCUAACUACGUGCCAGCAGCCGCGGUAAUACGUAGGGGGCGAGCGUUGUCCGGAAUUACUGGGCGUAAAGGGUGCGUAGGCGGCCCUUUAAGUCGGAUGUGAAAGCCCGCG